Cavia porcellus (domestic guinea pig) is the source of this 555-nucleotide long non-coding RNA. RefSeq lists it as uncharacterized. The transcript is spliced from 2 exons. Lineage: Eukaryota; Metazoa; Chordata; Mammalia; Rodentia; Caviidae. The record is from RefSeq and is a predicted model, not a curated record.
GGCGGAUUGUGUCUAGGCGCCUAUUGGACCUGUGACACCCUUGCGAAGAGAGUGUAGGAGACACCUGCGAGGACGCCAAAGGCCUUCGCUCACUCAGUGAACCCGUUGUCAGGACCAAGCUGAGCUUUGAAAUUCCAGCUAGUUCACUUCCUUGAACCUCAACUUCCUCGUGGACAGGGCCUCACUGUUGACCAAGCUGGCUUCAAACUCCUUUGGUUGAAGUGAUUCUCCUGCCUCAGGAUCCCAAGUGGAAGGGACAACAGAUGCACACUGCUACACCCAGCACAAUGGCUUAAUGUUCCUUUUACCCCUUCCUGAGACAUCUGACCUACACUUAUGGCUUUUUUGACCGCUUAUAUCCAGAUGAUUCAGGUAUCCAGGGAAUAAAACAGUGCCUUACCUCAAAAGUCACCUGUUUCCCUACUCAAUCACAUGCUCCUUCCCAGUCCCAGAUUUAGCACUACACUGAGUUUUGUCUUAAUUAUUCUAUUGCUUUCUCCAUGAGUUCUACUAUCUAUAUGCCUAUCCCUAAAUAAAAAAAUGUUUUCACUUUGA